ACAGGGAGACAGGUGGUGCAUGGUUGUCGUCAGCUCGUGUCGUGAGAUGUUGGGUUAAGUCCCGCAACGAGCGCAACCCCUACGUUUAGUUGCUAACAGGUGAAGCUGAGCACUCUAGACGAACUGCCGUUGACAAAACGGAGGAAGGUGGGAUGACGUCAAAUCAUCAUGCCCCUUAUGUUCUGGGCUACACACGUGCUACAAUGGCCGGUACAGACGGAGGCGAAGCCGCGAGGCGGAGCAAAUCCGAAAAAGCCGGUCUCAGUUCGGAUUGCAGGCUGCAACUCGCCUGCAUGAAGUCGGAAUCGCUAGUAAUCGCAGGUCAGCAUACUGCGGUGAAUACGUUCUCGGGCCUU
This 356-nucleotide ribosomal RNA is filed under the name uncultured Pelotomaculum sp. RNAcentral's name for it is "bacterial SSU rRNA". It matches the Rfam family "Bacterial small subunit ribosomal RNA", at positions 1026 to 1382 of the family's 1533-position model. The record is from RNAcentral. Lineage: Bacteria; Bacillati; Bacillota; Clostridia; Eubacteriales; Desulfotomaculaceae.